UACGGGGGGGGCAAGCGUUGUUCGGAAUUACUGGGCGUAAAGGGCGCGUAGGCGGCCAUCUAAGUCAGACGUGAAAUCCCCCGGCUUAACCUGGGAACUGCGUCUGAUACUGGACGGCUCGAGUUUGGGAGAGGGAUGUAGAAUUCCAGGUGUAGCGGUGAAAUGCGUAGAUAUCUGGAGGAAUACCGGUGGCGAAGGCGGCAUCCUGGACCAACACUGACGCUGAGGCGCGAAAGCUAGGGGAGCAAACGGG
Molecule: ribosomal RNA, 253 nt
Filed under: uncultured bacterium
Lineage: Bacteria
Description: partial 16S ribosomal RNA
Rfam family: Bacterial small subunit ribosomal RNA
Source: RNAcentral